Molecule: small RNA, 730 nt
Filed under: Bos taurus (domestic cattle)
Lineage: Eukaryota; Metazoa; Chordata; Mammalia; Artiodactyla; Bovidae
Source: RNAcentral
UUUGCAUUUCUUUUUCUUGGGGAUGGUCUUGGUUCCUGUCUCCUGUACAGUGUCAUGAACCUCCAUCCAUAGUUCAUCAUCACUAUUCAUUAGAGAAAUACAAAUCAAAACUACAAUGUGGUAUUCCUUCACACCAGGCUGAAUAGAUAGCAACUAAAAUUCUACAAGCAAUAAUUCCUGGAGAGAAUGUGGGAAAAAAGGGAACAAUCUUGCACUGUUAGUGGGCAUGUAAAUUGGUACUGCCACUAUGGUGAAGAGUAUUGCUGCUCCUUUAAAAACUAAAACAUAUAAUCACCUUAUGACCUACUCCUGGGCAUUUUUUCUGGAAAAAACCUUAAAACCAAAAGAUUGAUGCACCCUAAUGUUCAUUACAGUAUUAUUUCCUGGAGGCACGACAUGCAACAUUUUUUAAUUAUAGAAAAAACGGAAAAAAGGAAAAAAAGAAUAAAAAACGUAUAAAGCAAGCAGUCUCUAAAGAUGUGGUCAAAUUACUCAGUAUUUGUAAAAGGAAAAUCUUCAGUAUAAGUAAACAAAGCAAGAACCACAUAUCAGAACCAAGUUAUAUGUUAAAAUUCAAAUAACAGAAAGUAUUUUAUAGUGAAAGAACUAACACACCCUGAUAUUUUAUCUCUCCAGCUCAGGAACUCAGAAUUACUUUUUUUUGUUUUCCUCUAAAUUUUAUUUUAUUUUACAAUAUUGUAUUAGUUUUGCCAAAUAUCAAAAUGAAUCC